UAGUUUUGUCCUAAGUCAAAACAUCGCUAACUUUGACCAAGAAUAUGGAAAAAUGUAUUAACAUCUGCAAUACCAAAUAAAUGCACUAUCAAGACAUAUUUCAUGGUGUAUUUAGCUAAACUAAUUUGAUUUUGUAGAUGUUGGUAUAUUUUUCUAUAAACUUGUUCUGAGUCAAAGAGUUUGACUUGGAACAAACCUAA
Molecule: microRNA precursor, 200 nt
Filed under: Dichanthelium oligosanthes
Lineage: Eukaryota; Viridiplantae; Streptophyta; Magnoliopsida; Poales; Poaceae
Description: MIR1435 microRNA precursor family
Rfam family: MIR1435 microRNA precursor family
Source: Rfam by way of RNAcentral